CCUACGGGAGGCAGCAGUGGGGAAUAUUGCACAAUGGGGGAAACCCUGAUGCAGCGACGCCGCGUGAGUGAAGAAGUAAUUCGUUAUGUAAAGCUCUAUCAGCAGGGAAGAAAAUGACGGUACCUGAGUAAGAAGCCCCGGCUAACUACGUGCCAGCAGCCGCGGUCAUACGUAGGGGGCAAGCGUUAUCCGGAUUUACUGGGUGUAAAGGGAGCGUAGACGGCAGUGCAAGUCUGGAGUGAAAGGCGGGGGCUCAACCCCCGGACUGCUCUGGAAACUGUCCGGCUGGAGUGCAGGAGAGGUAAGUGGAAUGCCUAGUGUAGCGGUGAAAUGCGUAGAUAUUAGGAGGAACACCAGUGGCGAAGGCGGCUUACUGGACUGUAACUGACGUUGAGGCUCGAAAGCGUGGGGAGCAAACAGGAUUAGAUACCCUGGUAGUC
RNAcentral lists this ribosomal RNA (440 nucleotides) under uncultured bacterium. RNAcentral's name for it is "partial 16S ribosomal RNA". It matches the Rfam family "Bacterial small subunit ribosomal RNA", at positions 338 to 795 of the family's 1533-position model. The record is from RNAcentral.